This 491-nucleotide ribosomal RNA is filed under the name uncultured Hymenobacter sp. RNAcentral describes it as "partial 16S ribosomal RNA". The record is from RNAcentral. Lineage: Bacteria; Pseudomonadati; Bacteroidota; Cytophagia; Cytophagales; Hymenobacteraceae.
CACGGAGUUAGCCGGUGCUUAUUCCUCAGGUACCGUCAGUUUGUGACGCAUCACCUUUUUCUUCCCUGAGAAAAGCCGUUUACAACCCAGAAGGCCUUCAUCCGGCACGCGGCAUGGCUGGGUCAGGCUCUCGCCCAUUGCCCAAUAUUCCCUACUGCUGCCUCCCGUAGGAGUCUGGCCCGUAUCUCAGUGCCAGUGUGGGGGAUCACCCUCUCAGGUCCCCUAGACAUCGUCGCCUUGGUGGGCCGUUACCCCGCCAACUAGCUAAUGUCACGCAACCCCAUCCUGAACCAAUAAAUCUUUCCCAAUUGCCUGAUGCCAGGCUGCUGGUAUAUGCGGUAUUAAUCCGCCUUUCGGCGGGCUAUCCCCCAGUUCAGGGCAGGUUGGUUACGCGUUACGCACCCGUGCGCCACUAGUGUAUUGCUACACCCGUUCGACUUGCAUGUAUUAGGCCUGCCGCUAGCGUUCAUCCUGAGCCAGGAUCAAACUCU